UACGUAGGGGGCAAGCGUUGCUCGGAAUCACUGGGCGUAAAGCGCACGUAGGCGGCUUUCUAAGUCAGGGGUGAAAUCCUGGAGCUCAACUCCAGAACUGCCUUUGAUACUGGAGAGCUUGAGUCCGGGAGAGGUGAGUGGAACUCCGAGUGUAGAGGUGAAAUUCGUAGAUAUUCGGAAGAACACCAGUGGCGAAGGCGGCUCACUGGCCCGGUACUGACGCUGAUGUGCGAAAGCGUGGGGAGCAAACAGG
Molecule: ribosomal RNA, 253 nt
Filed under: uncultured bacterium
Lineage: Bacteria
Description: partial 16S ribosomal RNA
Rfam family: Bacterial small subunit ribosomal RNA
Source: RNAcentral